GAAGGUAUAGCUCAAAGCAGAGCACAUGCUUACCAAGCACAAGGUCCUGGGUUCAAUCCCCAGUACGUCCU
This 71-nucleotide transfer RNA is filed under the name Camelus bactrianus (Bactrian camel). It matches the Rfam family "tRNA". From Rfam's summary of the family: Transfer RNA (tRNA) molecules are approximately 80 nucleotides in length. Lineage: Eukaryota; Metazoa; Chordata; Mammalia; Artiodactyla; Camelidae. The record is from Rfam by way of RNAcentral. RNAcentral also lists the same sequence under 2 other names.